GUGGAGCAUGUGGCUUAAUUUGACUCAACGCGGGAAAUCUUACCGGGUCCGGACACACUGAGGAUUGACAGGCAAUAAAUUAAAAUAUAUUAUAUAUAUUUUAUGUUAAAUAUGCUAGUCCUUUCAUGAUUAUGUGAUAGGUGGUGCAUGGCCGUUCUUAGUUCGUGGAGUGAUCUGUCUGCUUAAUUGCGUUUCACUAAGGGCUUAUUAAUUUAACGUGUGUUGUUAGGCGUUAACUUUGACCCCUAAUUUUAAUAAAAUUAGUGCGUGUCUUAGUUUUUAUUGCUUUUAACUCACACAAUUAAGUCCUGAAAGCAACGAACGUGACCGCAACCUCUUGUUGCCUUUAUAUUUUUUUAUUU
RNAcentral lists this ribosomal RNA (362 nucleotides) under Eggerelloides sp. Its description in RNAcentral is "SSU rRNA". It matches the Rfam family "Eukaryotic small subunit ribosomal RNA", at positions 1176 to 1411 of the family's 1831-position model. Lineage: Eukaryota; Foraminifera; Textulariida; Eggerellidae. The record is from RNAcentral.